This 1504-nucleotide ribosomal RNA is filed under the name uncultured prokaryote. Its description in RNAcentral is "partial 16S ribosomal RNA". It matches the Rfam family "Bacterial small subunit ribosomal RNA". The record is from RNAcentral.
AUUGAACGCUGGCGGCAGGCUUAACACAUGCAAGUCGAGCGGUAACAGAGGGUAGCUUGCUACUUUGCUGACGAGCGGCGGACGGGUGAGUAAUGCUUGGGAAUAUGCCUUAUGGUGGGGGACAACCAGGGGAAACCCUGGCUAAUACCGCAUACACUCUACGGAGAAAAGGAGGCCUCUUCUUGAAAGCUUUCGCUAUUGGAUGAGCCUGCGUGAGAUUAGCUAGUUGGUAGGGUAAAGGCCUACCAAGGCGACGAUCUCUAGCUGGUCUGAGAGGACGAUCAGCCACACUGGGACUGAGACACGGCCCAGACUCCUACGGGAGGCAGCAGUGGGGAAUAUUGGACAAUGGGCGCAAGCCUGAUCCAGCAAUGCCGCGUGUGUGAAGAAGGCCCGAGGGUUGUAAAGCACUUUCAGAAGAGAAGAGGGGACUGAUGUUAAUAGCAUUGGAACCGGACGUUACCUUCAGAAGAAGCACCGGCUAACUCUGUGCCAGCAGCCGCGGUAAUACAGAGGGUGCAAGCGUUAAUCGGAAUUACUGGGCGUAAAGCGCGCGUAGGCGGAUAGAUAAGUUGGAUGUGAAAGCCCCGGGCUCAACCUGGGAUGGUCAUUCAAAACUGUUUAUCUAGAAUGUGGUAGAGGGUAGUGGAAUUCCUAGUUUAGCGGUGAAAUGCGUAGAUAUUAGGAGGAAUACCGGUGGCGAAGGCGGCCCCCUGGAUUGAUACUGACACUGAGGUACGAAAGCGUGGGGAGCAAACAGGAUUAGAUACCGUGGUACUCCACGCCGUAAACGAUGUCUACUAGCCGUUGGGAGGCUUGACCUUAGUGGCGAAGCUAACGCGAUAAGUAGACCGCCUGGGGAGUACGGUCGCAAGAUUAAAACUCAAAUGAAUUGACGGGGGCCCGCACAAGCGGUGGAGCAUGUGGUUUAAUUCGAUGCAACGCGAAAAACCUUACCUACUCUUGACAUCCAGAGAACUCGCUAGAGAUAGCUUGGUGCCUUCGGGAACUCUGAGACAGGUGCUGCAUGGCUGUCGUCAGCUCGUGUUGUGAAAUGUUGGGUUAAGUCCCGUAACGAGCGCAACCCUUAUCCUUAUUUGCCAGCGAGUAAUGUCGGCACUAUAAGGAGACUGCCGGUGACAAACCGGAGGAAGGCGGGGACGACGUUCAAGCUCAUCAGUGGCCCUUACGAGCUAUGGCUACACACGGUGCGUACAAUGGCGCUAUACAGAGGGCUGCAAUCUCGCGAGAGGGAGCUAAUCUCACAAAACCGGUCGUAGUCCGGAUCGGAGUCUGCAACUCGACUCCGUGAAGUUGGAAUCGCUAGUAAUCGUGGAUCAGAAUGCCACGGUGAAUACGUUCCCGGGCCUUGUACACACCGCCCGUCACACCAUGGGAGUGGAUUGCACCAGAAGUAGCUAGCUUAACCUUCGGGGGAGCGGUUACCACGGUGUGGUCAAUGACUGGGGUGAAGUCGUAACAAGGUAGCCCUAGGGGAACCUGG